RNAcentral lists this transfer RNA (72 nucleotides) under Flavobacterium piscinae. It matches the Rfam family "tRNA". Rfam says of the family: Transfer RNA (tRNA) molecules are approximately 80 nucleotides in length. Their secondary structure includes four short double-helical elements and three loops (D, anti-codon, and T loops). The record is from Rfam by way of RNAcentral. Lineage: Bacteria; Pseudomonadati; Bacteroidota; Flavobacteriia; Flavobacteriales; Flavobacteriaceae.
GCUCUGUUCGAAUAACGGUUAGUUCACUCGGCUUUCUACCGAGAGAUAAGGGUUCGAUUCCCUUACAGAGUA